CAGCCGUAAACGAUGCGCGUUAGGUGUAUCGACGACCACGAGUCGUCGAGGUGCCGAAGGGAAACCGUGAAACGUGCCGCCUGGGAAGUACGGUCGCAAGGCUGAAACUUAAAGGAAUUGGCGGGGGAGCACCACAACAGGUGGAGCCUGCGGUUUAAUUGGACUCAACGCCGGGAAGCUCACCGGAUAAGACAGCGGAAUGAUUGCCGGGCUGAAGACUCUGCAUGACUAGCUGAGAGGAGGUGCAUGGCGUAGACGUCU
Molecule: ribosomal RNA, 261 nt
Filed under: uncultured archaeon
Lineage: Archaea
Description: partial 16S ribosomal RNA
Rfam family: Archaeal small subunit ribosomal RNA
Source: RNAcentral